GCGGCCGUAGUCUAGCCUGGCAGGAUGGGGGCCUGCCACGCCCCAGUGAGGUGGUCGACCUCGGGGAGACCCGGGUUCGAAUCCCGGCGGCCGCACCA
Molecule: transfer RNA, 98 nt
Filed under: marine sediment metagenome
Rfam family: tRNA
About the family: Transfer RNA (tRNA) molecules are approximately 80 nucleotides in length. Their secondary structure includes four short double-helical elements and three loops (D, anti-codon, and T loops).
Source: RNAcentral